Molecule: ribosomal RNA, 495 nt
Filed under: uncultured bacterium
Lineage: Bacteria
Description: partial 16S ribosomal RNA
Rfam family: Bacterial small subunit ribosomal RNA
Source: RNAcentral
GACGAACGCUGGCGGCGUGCCUAAUACAUGCAAGUAGAACGCUGAAGGAGGAGCUUGCUCUUCUGGAUGAGUUGCGAACGGGUGAGUAACGCGUAGGUAACCUGCCUGGUAGCGGGGGAUAACUAUUGGAAACGAUAGCUAAUACCGCAUAACAGUAGAUGUUGCAUGACAUUUACUUAAAAGGUGCAAUUGCAUCACUACCAGAUGGGCCUGCGUUGUAUUAGCUAGUUGGUGGGGUAACGGCUCACCAAGGCGACGAUACAUAGCCGACCUGAGAGGGUGAUCGGCCACACUGGGACUGAGACACGGCCCAGACUCCUACGGGAGGCAGCAGUAGGGAAUCUUCGGCAAUGGACGGAAGUCUGACCGAGCAACGCCGCGUGAGUGAAGAAGGUUUUCGGAUCGUAAAGCUCUGUUGUAAGAGAAGAACGAGUGUGAGAGUGGAAAGUUCACACUGUGACGGUAUCUUACCAGAAAGGGACGGCUAACUACGUG